Molecule: small nucleolar RNA, 142 nt
Organism: Setaria italica (foxtail millet)
Lineage: Eukaryota; Viridiplantae; Streptophyta; Magnoliopsida; Poales; Poaceae
Rfam family: Small nucleolar RNA Z247
About the family: Z247 is a member of the C/D class of snoRNA which contain the C (UGAUGA) and D (CUGA) box motifs. Most of the members of the box C/D family function in directing site-specific 2'-O-methylation of substrate RNAs.
Source: Rfam
AUACUGAUUGAUGAUGGUGAGAUGGCAUCUCAUAUUCUCAACGGUCUUGAUUUAGAGUACAAUCCAUUUGUUUCUUCAAUGCUUGGCCGAGCGGAUCCUAUCUCACCUUCCGAGUUAUAUUCUCAUCUAAUAUCCUAUGAGA